RNAcentral lists this ribosomal RNA (2250 nucleotides) under freshwater metagenome. RNAcentral describes it as "bacterial LSU rRNA". It matches the Rfam family "Bacterial large subunit ribosomal RNA", at positions 311 to 2300 of the family's 2925-position model. The record is from RNAcentral.
CUUCUUUACUAUUAUUUCCAAGUGGCUCCUCCAUUAUAAAAACAAUAGGACAUCCGUAGAUGGUGUUCCCUGUGUUCAUUGUAAUAAUAACACUACCUGGGUUAUCACCUGAUUCAAGGAUUUUACUGCGUUUGUUAUAGACUUUAUCUGUUACACCGUGAAUAUAUAACUCUCCGUUCAUAUACCCCAGUUUUCCUAGUACAUGUAUAUCCCUUUUCACACCUUACCCCCUUUCUUUUCCAAUAUAUCUUUUAUAACAGAUUAUGUCUCCCGAGUACUAUGGAGCACGUGAAAUUCCGUAGGAAUCAGCCCCGACCAUGGGGUAAGGCUAAAUACUAACUGAUGACCGAUAGUGAACUAGUACCGUGAGGGAAAGGUGAAAAGAACCCCGGAAGGGGAGUGAAAUAGAAACUGAAAUCAAAUAUUUACAAGCGGUGGAAGCGAUGUAUACGUACGCGCAACCACGUGCCUUUUGCAUAAUGAUCCAGCGAGUUAUACCUAUAUUGCAAGGUUAAGUUUAGUAAGAACGGAGCCGUAGCGAAAGCGAGUCUGAAUAGGGCGAUUAGUAGCGUGCGAUAUACCCGAAACCUAGCGAGCUAUCCAUGUCCAGGAUGAAGUUUCAGUUAAAUGAAAUGGAGGUCCGAACCGGUGUGAUUUGAAAAAUACUCGGAUGAGGUGUGGAUUGGAGUGAAAGGCUAAUCAAGCUGGGAAAUAGCUGGUUCUUUCCGAAAUAUAUUUAGGUAUAGCCUCGAUGGAUUAUAUAGGGGGGUAAAGCACAGUUUUAAUUUUGGGGUCGCAAGAUUACCGGAUUUUUACUAACUCUGAAUACUCUAUAUUUAGAAGUCGGGAGACAGGCUACGAGAGAUAAGUUCCGUGGCCGAGAGGGAAAAAGCCCAGACCAUCAAUUAAGGUCCCCAAGUAUCUACUAAGUGGUAAAAGAUGUGAAAAUACACAGACAGCCAGGAGGUUGGCUUAGAAGCAGCCAUCCUUUAAAGAAAGCGUAAUAGCUCACUUGCUAAGUGUUUUUGCGCUGAAGCAUACACGGGGCUAAGUAGAUCACCGAAAUUAUGGUUUGUACAAUUUUUUAAAAUUGUAUGAAGGUAGGAAAGCGUUCUUAGAUAGAAACAAGUUUGACCGUGAGGGCAGAUGAUGGAUCUAAGAAGUGAGUAUGUUGGUAUAAGUAACGAAAAAACAGGUGAGAUUCCUGUUCGCCGUAAAUCUAAGGGUUCCUGAGAACGGUUCAUCCACUCAGGGUUAGUCGAUCCCUAAGCCGAGGCCAAUUGGAGUAGGUGAUGGGAAAACAGGUGAAUAUUCCUGUACUAUAAGAGACGUUUGAACGAUGGAGUGACGCAGUAGGAUAUGUUUAGUGAGUGUUUGGUGCUCAUCUAAGUUUCAAGGGAGAUGGUAUAGGUAAAUCCGUAUCAUUGUUGAACUGAGAAAUAAUGGGUCUGGAGAGGUAACUUUUUGGAUUAGACAGAUUUCACACUGACAAGAAAAACUUCUAGUGAGUUGUAUUAUAAUCGUACCGCAAACUGACACAAGUAGAUGGGCUGAGAAUGCUCAGGCGUUGAGAUAAGUAUCGUUAAGGAACUCGGCAAAAUAGCCUCGUAACUUCGGGAGAAGAGGUGCCUGUAUUGUGAAGUUAAAUUUGCAUUAACAGGUUUCAACAAAGAGGCCCAAUCGACUGUUUAGCAAAAACACAGAGCUCUGCAAACUCGAAAGAGGAAGUAUAGAGUUUGACGCCUGCCCAGUGCUGGAAGGUUAACAGGAGAUGUUAGUUGUAAAAGAUGAAGCAUUGAAUCGAAGCCCCGGUAAACGGCGGCCGUAACUAUAACGGUCCUAAGGUAGCGAAGUCCCUUGUCGGGUAAGUUCCGACCUGCAUGAAUGGCGUAACGAGUUGGGCGCUGUCUUAACGAUACACUCAGUGAAUUUGUAGUAGGGGUGAAAAUGCCCCUUACCUGCAACUGGACGGAAAGACCCCGUGCACCUUUACUGUAGUUUUGCAUUGGUAUUUGGAUAAAUAUGUGUAGGAUAGGUGGGAGACUGUGAUGUUUAAGCGCUAGCUUAAGCGGAGUCAACGUUGAAAUACCACUCUUAUUUGUUUGGAUAUCUAACUUUAAUCCAUUUAUCUGGAUGAAGGACAUUGCAUGGGACAGUAUCGUGACUGGGAAACAGAUCGGAAGAGCACACGUCUGAACUCCAGUCACCGGCUAUGAUCUCGUAUGCCGUCUUCUGCUUGAAAAAAAAAAA